Molecule: long non-coding RNA, 1088 nt
Organism: Hemibagrus wyckioides
Lineage: Eukaryota; Metazoa; Chordata; Actinopteri; Siluriformes; Bagridae
Exons: 4
Source: RefSeq, a predicted model, not a curated record
UGUGGAAGCCUUUGAACAAGAAGCAGUUUUUCCACUCGGCCGAUUUCACUUCAUCAGAGCCUGUUUUAAGCAGAUAAUCGGUUUCUCAGACAUGAUUUCCAACACGUCUCCAUCAGGAUGAUUUAGCGGGAAAUUUCACAGACUUUGUUCAAAGCUCCAGCUGCAGCAUGGAUGUCUGUGGUCUGGAUCCAAGCUUGGAGCGUUCAGCAUGCCCAGACGUGGUAGAGAGUGACCGCUAAUCCUGUUUGAGCCGGCGCUGACAAAGCCUCGCUCUGUUCCCCAACCUCGUCUCGCUGUCCUCACGAGACUCGGCAUGUGGAUGAAGAUCUGCGGCAGCCCACUUCGUGCACGCUGGACUCAAAUGUGCCUUUUCAUUCCUCCAUCCUCCAUCCUCACUCCCCCUGUGAGAUCUGCAUCGUGUUAACGUGUAGUGAAAGCGUCAGGUCACGGGGCCUUCACGCUAACCCCAAGGUCUGGGGGAAUGAAACUCGAGUCUCGUGGAGGACGUCAGGAUCGAUUGAAGGUGAAAGGUGAGGAUGGUGAUUGGGAACAGACACCAGCGGGAAAAACUCUAGAGAGAACGAAGGGGAAAAAAAGAUGAAUGAUCCUGAUUAUCUUGCGAAGAAGAUAAGAAACAGAAGUGAUGACAAUAAUAACUUUUAUAAAACCAAGCCCAAUGAGUACGCAGGGCUCGAGCGGAUGCCUUUAAUGUGACGGAUGUGAUGUAGCUGCGACAAAAUGCUCCAUUCGUCAUGAUGAGAGAACAGAUGUCACACAUAUGUGUUACCAUGGGAAUCCCAAAAUAUUGCACUCCAAACAUUCACUGAUAAGAGUUCACCUUGAUUUACUGCUAUUAAAGCAGAUACUACACAAGGAGAACCUGGAGUCCAUCCCAGGGAACAAGGUGGGGGACACCAUGGACGAGGUGCCAACACAUCACAGGGCACAAUCACGCACGACACACACUAUGGAGAACUUAGAGAUGGCAGUCAGCCUAAAAGGCAUGUCUUUGGAAUGUGGGAGGAAACCGAGGCACCUGGAAGAAACCCCCUAAACCCCUUGUCACCACAGGCUGGCUCAUUAGGAAU